AUUGAACGCUGGCGGCAUGCCUUACACAUGCAAGUCGAACGGCAGCACGGGGCAACCUGGUGGCGAGUGGCGAACGGGUGAGUAAUGCAUCGGAACGUGCCAUUGAGUGGGGGAUAACGUAGCGAAAGUUGCGCUAAUACCGCAUAUUCUGUGAGCAGGAAAGCAGGGGACCGCAAGGCCUUGCGCUCUUUGAGCGGCCGAUGUCAGAUUAGCUAGUUGGUGAGGUAACGGCUUACCAAGGCGACGAUCUGUAGCGGGUCUGAGAGGAUGAUCCGCCACACUGGAACUGAGACACGGUCCAGACUCCUACGGGAGGCAGCAGUGGGGAAUUUUGGACAAUGGGCGCAAGCCUGAUCCAGCCAUUCCGCGUGCAGGAUGAAGGCCCUCGGGUUGUAAACUGCUUUUGUACGGAACGAAACGGUCCUGGUUAAUACCUGGGGCUAAUGACGGUACCGUAAGAAUAAGCACCGGCUAACUACGUGCCAGCAGCCGCGGUAAUC
This 500-nucleotide ribosomal RNA is filed under the name uncultured bacterium. Its description in RNAcentral is "bacterial SSU rRNA". It matches the Rfam family "Bacterial small subunit ribosomal RNA", at positions 30 to 525 of the family's 1533-position model. The record is from RNAcentral.